This 493-nucleotide ribosomal RNA is filed under the name uncultured bacterium. Its description in RNAcentral is "partial 16S ribosomal RNA". It matches the Rfam family "Bacterial small subunit ribosomal RNA", at positions 28 to 507 of the family's 1533-position model. The record is from RNAcentral.
GACGAACGCUGGCGCGCGCUUAACACAUGCAAGUCGAACGGAAAGGCCUGCUUUCCCUUGUGGAUUGCGGGUACUCGAGUGGCGAACGGGUGAGUAACACGUGAGUGAUCUGCCCCCAACUUGGGUAUAAGCCUGGGAAACUGGGUCUAAUUCCCGAUAGGACUGCAGGGUGGUGCCUGUGGUGGAAAACGAUUUUCUAGUGGUUGGGGAUGAGCUCGCGGCCUAUCAGCUUGUUGGUGGGGUAAUGGCCUACCAAGGCGGCGACGGGUAGCCGGCCUGAGAGGGUGGACGGCCACAUUGGGACUGAGAUACGGCCCAGACUCCUACGGGAGGCAGCAGUGGGGAAUAUUGCACAAUGGGCGGAAGCCUGAUGCAGCGACGCCGCGUGGGGGAUGACGGCCUUCGGGUUGUAAACUCCUUUCGACCGCGAGGAAGCCACCUGGUUGGAAGGGUGGUGACGGUAGUGGUAGAAGAAGCACCGGCUAACUACGUG